AGCCUUAGGAAAUUAAUCUAAGGUUAAACCUGCCCAAUGUUAAUCUUUAUCAAUGGCCGCGGUACUUUGACCGUGCUAAGGUAGCGCAAUCAAUUGGCUUUUAAUUGAAGCCACGUAUGAAUGGAAUCACGGGGUUUAGCUGUCUCUUGGUUAAUUUAUCGAAAUUACUAUUUAGGUGAAAAAGCCUAAAAGAAGAAAAAAGACGAGAAGACCCUUAGAGUUUUUCUAAAAUUAGAAUUUUUCUAAAACAGUUUAGUUGGGGCAACAUAGGAACAUUAUAAAAAUCUUAACCUCCUGUAAAAUACCUACCGAUAUUGAUAAAUUUGAAUAAACUACCUUAGGGAUAACAGCAUAAUUUUAUAAAUAAGUUUGUGACCUCGAUGUUGGACUAGGAAACUGAAAGGCUAGCCGCCUUUUAGGAAAGUUCUGUUCGAACUAUUAUUCCUCCGU
This 450-nucleotide ribosomal RNA is filed under the name Sclerodoris tuberculata. Its description in RNAcentral is "partial large subunit ribosomal RNA". It matches the Rfam family "Archaeal large subunit ribosomal RNA", at positions 1917 to 2670 of the family's 2987-position model. Lineage: Eukaryota; Metazoa; Mollusca; Gastropoda; Nudibranchia; Discodorididae. The record is from RNAcentral.